Molecule: ribosomal RNA, 280 nt
Filed under: uncultured bacterium
Lineage: Bacteria
Description: partial 16S ribosomal RNA
Rfam family: Bacterial small subunit ribosomal RNA
Source: RNAcentral
AUUGCCCUCUUUCUUCCUGCCUAACACAUGCAAGUCGAGCGGUAGCACAGAGAGCUUGCUCUCGGGUGACGAGCGGCGGACGGGUGAGUAAUGUCUGGGAAACUGCCUGAUGGAGGGGGAUAACUACUGGAAACGGUAGCUAAUACCGCAUAACGUCGCAAGACCAAAGUGGGGGACCUUCGGGCCUCAUGCCAUCAGAUGUGCCCAGAUGGGAUUAGCUAGUAGGUGGGGUAAUGGCUCACCUAGGCGACGAUCCCUAGCUGGUCUGAGAGGAUGACCA